CGAGCCGGGCGGACGGCCGCGUGGAGCCCCCAGGGGCUUCCCGAGGAACGUCCGGACUCCAUAGGGCAGGGUGGUGGCUAACGGCCACCCGGGGUGACCCGCGGGACAGUGCCACAGAAAACAAACCGCCGGGGACUUCGGUCCUCGGUAAGGGUGAAACGGUGGUGUAAGAGACCACCAGUGCCCAGGGUGACCUGGGCAGCUAGGUAAACCCCACCCGGAGCAAGGUCAAAAGGAGCCGCUGUAAAAGGCGCGCUCUGCGCGGACGUUCGAGGGCUGCCCGCCCGAGUCCGCGGGUAGACCGCAUGAGGCCAACGGCAACGUUGGUCCUAGAUGGAUGGCCGUCUCCCCGGCCGCUGCGAGGCGACCGGGUGACAAAAUCCGGCGUACAGCUCGACUCGUCUG
RNAcentral lists this RNase P RNA (405 nucleotides) under Streptomyces sp. P17. Its description in RNAcentral is "RNase P RNA component class A". It matches the Rfam family "Bacterial RNase P class A". Rfam says of the family: Ribonuclease P (RNase P) is a ubiquitous endoribonuclease, found in archaea, bacteria and eukarya as well as chloroplasts and mitochondria. Its best characterised activity is the generation of mature 5'-ends of tRNAs by cleaving the 5'-leader elements of precursor-tRNAs. Cellular RNase Ps are ribonucleoproteins. The record is from RNAcentral. Lineage: Bacteria; Bacillati; Actinomycetota; Actinomycetes; Kitasatosporales; Streptomycetaceae.